UGGGAACCUUAGAAGCUGCUGCCACAGUGACCCCAGAGCACUCUCUCUGUGACCCUAUGCCCCUUUUACAUCAUUUCAGCAUACUCUCUGUGACUGCUAUGCCCCUUAUUACAUCAUUCAGGAUGAAUGGGAGCUGAAGGUACUUUGCUUGGACUUUCCUUGUACCAAUACGUGUGCAACUGAGCUACAGAGUCUCCCAGAGUCUCCAGACCGUACUUGGCUUUGAAUAUCUGAUCCACAUCCAUGCAGAAGACAUAGUCAACCUCAUGCUGUAUGUGACCUGCGAUGUGUUCACUGAUGACCUUCAUGCGCACCAUGCUGAUAUCUUGCCACCUCCGCUCUUGCUUAAUCUUAAAAAUCUUUAGUGUCCGAUGGCGACUCAGAUCUACCCAUGGCAUAUAGGAGAAGUCGUCCAGCAUGAUGUAAAUGAUGACCUUCUGGUUGACCAUGAAGAACCUAUCGGCAGAUUCCAGGAAGUGACCCAAGUAGUACAAAAGGGUCUACAGAUCGUGGGACAGAAGAGGGGCUCUUUGAGAGAAGAAAUGAACAUUAGUGAGACAGAAAUGCACCAAUGAACUUCUGGUGGUGUCUGGACAGCUUCCUGCAGCUUCUGGAGACUCAGGCUGAUUGGCAGAGCCUCGAGGUUUCUUCUGGAUGGAACUGCCAUUUCUAAUUCAUGAACGGUGCUUGCAAGUGGAUCAACCUCCUACUACUGGUUUGUGUGAACUGAACUGCUGCUAGCCUGACAAUUGCCCCAAAGAACUGCUUCUAACCAGGUCUACA
This is a long non-coding RNA of Mus musculus (house mouse), 783 nucleotides long. RefSeq annotates it as predicted gene, 39797. The transcript has 5 exons. The record is from RefSeq and is a predicted model, not a curated record. NCBI's taxonomy places the organism in Eukaryota, Metazoa, Chordata, Mammalia, Rodentia, Muridae.